GUACACGCUGUGACUAGCAUAUCAUAAGCGGAGGAAAAGAAACUAACAAGGAUUCCCCUAGUAACGGCGAGUGAAGCGGGAAGAGCUCAAAUUUGAAGUCUUAAAGGGUUUCCCUUUACGAAUUGUAGUUUAAAGAAGUGUUUUCUGUUGAGGUUUUGGUAAAAGUUCUUUGGAAUAGGACAUCAUAGAGGGUGAGAAUCCCGUAUUUGACCUUUACUUUCAACUUUGUGAUACACUUUCAAAGAGUCGGAUUGUUUGGGAAUGCAGUCCAAAAUGGGUGGUAAAUUUCAUCUAAAGCUAAAUAUUGGCGAGAGACCGAUAGCGAACAAGUACCGUGAGGGAAAGAUGAAAAGAACUUUGAAAAGAGAGUUAAACAGUACGUGAAAUUGUCAAAAGGGAAGCGUUUGACACCAGUGUUGUUUUUCUGAAAAUCAAUUAAAGAACUGUUUAUGCUAAGUUGUUUAGACUUUAUCAGCUAACUGUUUAGUUUUGAGCUUUUCUUUAAUGCACUUUUCAGUUAACAAGUCAACAGUCAAUUUCUUUUGCUGUAAAAAAGCUUGAGGAAGGUGGCUUGAGAUUCGUCUUAAGUGUUUAUAGCCUCUUGCCUAUGCAGUCGGAGAGAUUGAGGUCUGCAGCGUAGAUCCUUCGGGGCUAAAUGCAUUUGUGCUAAGUUAUAGCAUUUUAUAGACAACUUGUUGACUAUGAUUUGUCUUGUAGCUUACUCGCUUAUGUUAUUUUACCUACGCUUAGGAUGUUGACAGCAGUAUAGACUGU
RNAcentral lists this ribosomal RNA (774 nucleotides) under uncultured Neocallimastigales. RNAcentral describes it as "partial large subunit ribosomal RNA". It matches the Rfam family "Eukaryotic large subunit ribosomal RNA", at positions 22 to 637 of the family's 3401-position model. The record is from RNAcentral. Lineage: Eukaryota; Fungi; Neocallimastigomycota; Neocallimastigomycetes; Neocallimastigales.